Molecule: non-coding RNA, 187 nt
Organism: Seminavis robusta
Lineage: Eukaryota; Bacillariophyta; Bacillariophyceae; Naviculales; Naviculaceae
Source: the annotation of a GenBank genome assembly
UAGGGUAGAGUUUCAAACUCUGCCCUAAUAAUUAGGGCAGAGUUUCAAACUCUGCCCUAAAUUUCAAACUCUGCCCUAAUUUAGGGUAGAGUUUCAAACUCUACCCUAAAUUAGGGCAUGGUUUCAAAACUCUACCCUAUAAUUAGGGCAGAGUUUCAAACUCUGCCCUAAAUUAGGGCAGAGCUUG